GACGAACGCUGGCGGCGUGCCUAAUACAUGCAAGUUGAGCGCUGAAGGUUGGUACUUGUACCAACUGGAUGAGCAGCGAACGGGUGAGUAACGCGUGGGGAAUCUGCCUUUGAGCGGGGGACAACAUUUGGAAACGAAUGCUAAUACCGCAUAAAAACUUUAAACACAAGUUUUAAGUUUGAAAGAUGCAAUUGCAUCACUCAAAGAUGAUCCCGCGUUGUAUUAGCUAGUUGGUGAGGUAAAGGCUCACCAAGGCGAUGAUACAUAGCCGACCUGAGGAGGUGAUCGGCCACAUUGGGACUGAGACACGGCCCAAACUCCUACGGGAGGCAGCAGUAGGGAAUCUUCGGCAAUGGACGAAAGUCUGACCGAGCAACGCCGAGUGAGUGAAGAAGGUUUUCGGAUCGUAAAACUCUGUUGGUAGAGAAGAACGUUGGUGAGAGUGGAAAGCUCAUCAAGUGACGGUAACUACCCAGAAAGGGACGGCUAACUACGUG
Molecule: ribosomal RNA, 497 nt
Filed under: uncultured bacterium
Lineage: Bacteria
Description: partial 16S ribosomal RNA
Rfam family: Bacterial small subunit ribosomal RNA
Source: RNAcentral